UACGGGGGGAGCAAGCGUUGUUCGGAUUUACUGGGCGUAAAGGGCGCGUAGGCGGUCAGCACAAGUCAGUUGUGAAAUCUCCGGGCUUAACCCGGAAAGGUCAACUGAUACUGUGCGACUAGAGUGCGGAAGGGGCAACUGGAAUUCUCGGUGUAGCGGUGAAAUGCGUAGAUAUCGAGAGGAACACCUGCGGCGAAGGCGGGUUGCUGGGCCGACACUGACGCUGAGGAGCGAAAGCGUGGGGAGCGAACAGG
This 254-nucleotide ribosomal RNA is filed under the name uncultured bacterium. RNAcentral's name for it is "partial 16S ribosomal RNA". It matches the Rfam family "Bacterial small subunit ribosomal RNA", at positions 524 to 776 of the family's 1533-position model. The record is from RNAcentral.